This 433-nucleotide ribosomal RNA is filed under the name uncultured bacterium. RNAcentral describes it as "bacterial SSU rRNA". It matches the Rfam family "Bacterial small subunit ribosomal RNA", at positions 355 to 786 of the family's 1533-position model. The record is from RNAcentral.
UGAGGAAUAUUGGUCAAUGGGCGGGAGCCUGAACCAGCCAAGCCGCGUGAGGGAAGAAGGCCCUAUGGGUCGUAAACCUCUUUUGUCAGGGAACAAAAGCGAGUAUGUAUACUAGUCUGAGUGUACCUGAAGAAAAAGCAUCGGCUAACUCCGUGCCAGCAGCCGCGGUAAUACGGAGGAUGCGAGCGUUAUCCGGAUUUAUUGGGUUUAAAGGGUGCGUAGGCGGCGAUGCAAGUCAGCGGUAAAAGCCCGGGGCUCAACCCCGGCGAGCCGUUGAAACUGCAGUGCUAGAGAAGGCGAGAGGUACGCGGAAUGCGCAGUGUAGCGGUGAAAUGCGUAGAUAUUGGGAGGAACACCAGUGGCGAAGGCGGCUUACUGGACGGUGACUGACGUUGAGGCUCGAAAGCGUGGGGAGCAAACAGGAUUAGAUACC